UUGUGCAUCACCGCGNGGGUCCCCCCUNUGACGGGAGGGCUCGCGUUUUCCACAUAAAACUCGAUNCANUGUAGAAUGUUUCUUUNGCGGUCNCACGCAAUCAAUACAACUUUCAACAACGGAUCUCUUGGCUCUCGCAUCGAUGAAGAACGCAGCGAAAUGCGAUACGUAAUGUGAAUUGCAGAAUUCAGUGAAUCAUCGAAUCUUUGAACGCACCUUGCGCCCCUUGGCAUUCCGAGGGGCACACCCGUUUGAGUGUCGUGAAAUCUUCAAAAUCCUUUUUUCUUUGAACCAUUGUGGCCGGGAAAAGGGGGUUUUGGACUUGGAGGUUUAAUGCUCGCCCUUUCUUUCGRAAGCGAGCUCCUCUCAAAUGAAUUAGUGGGGUCCGCUUUGCUGAUCCUUGACGUGAUAAAAUGUUUGCUACGUUUUGGGUUUAGCUCUGUUCCUUGGAUGCCUGCUCCUAACCGUCUCGAUUG
This 476-nucleotide ribosomal RNA is filed under the name Russula aeruginea. RNAcentral's name for it is "eukaryotic LSU rRNA". The stretch from base 108 to 261 matches the Rfam family "5.8S ribosomal RNA". Lineage: Eukaryota; Fungi; Basidiomycota; Agaricomycetes; Russulales; Russulaceae. The record is from RNAcentral.